GACGAACGCUGGCGGCGUGCCUAACACAUGCAAGUCGAACGGAAAUGCCUUUCUGGAUGCGUACUCGAGGGGAAAACGGGUGAGUUACAUUUGGGCGUUCUCCCCCGCCCUGUGGGAUAAGCCUAGGAUUCUGCUUCUAAUGCCGACGAGGUGCAGAUGUAAGUGUGGUGGUUGGAGAGCUUGUUCGGAGUAGGAUGCGCUCGCGGCCGAUCAGCUAGUUGGUGGGGUAAUAGCUUCCCGAGGCGGCGAUGUGUAGCCGAGCUGAGAGGGAGAACGGCCACAGUGGGACUGAGACACGGCCCAGAGUCCGACGGGAGGCAGAAGUAGCGAAGGUAGGGAAAUGGGCGGAAGACUGAACAAGCGACGCAGCGUGAAUGAAGAAGGCCUGCGUGUUGUAAAACGCUGUUGUAGGGGUAGAAUGGGUGCGGUAGAAAAGAAGCUUGUCAUGACGGUACCUGAAGAAGAAGCACCGGCUAACUACGUG
This 484-nucleotide ribosomal RNA is filed under the name uncultured bacterium. RNAcentral describes it as "partial 16S ribosomal RNA". It matches the Rfam family "Bacterial small subunit ribosomal RNA", at positions 28 to 507 of the family's 1533-position model. The record is from RNAcentral.